RNAcentral lists this ribosomal RNA (253 nucleotides) under uncultured bacterium. Its description in RNAcentral is "partial 16S ribosomal RNA". It matches the Rfam family "Bacterial small subunit ribosomal RNA", at positions 524 to 776 of the family's 1533-position model. The record is from RNAcentral.
UACAGGGGGUGCAAACGUUGCUCGGAAUCAUUGGGCGUAAAGCGCACGUAGGCGGCUCGUUAUGUCGGAUGUGAAAGCCCUUGGCUUAACCGAGGAAGUGCAUCCGAAACUGGCGAGCUAGAGUACGAAAGAGGAUCGCGGAAUUCCCGGUGUAGAGGUGAAAUUCGUAGAUAUCGGGAGGAACACCGGUGGCGAAGGCGGGUCUCUGGGCCGAUACUGACGCUGAGGAGCGAAAGCGUGGGGAGCAAACAGG